GUUGUAAAGUUCUUUUCUGUCCGAGGAAUAAGUGUAGGAGGAAAUGCCUGCAUGGUGACGGUAGGGCAGGAAUAAGCACCGGCUAAUUACGUGCCAGCAGCCGCGGUAACACGUAAGGUGCGAGCGUUGUUCGGAAUUAUUGGGCGUAAAGGGCAUGCAGGCGGGUCGCCAAGCUUGGUAAGAAAUACCGGGGCUCAACUCCGGAGCUAUAUUGAGAACUGGCGAGCUAGAGUUGCCGAAGGGUAUCCGGAAUUCCGCGUGAAGGGGUGAAAUCUGUAGAUAUGCGGAAGAACACCGAUGGCGAAGGCAGGAUACCGGCGGACGACUGACGCUGAGGUGCGAAGGUGCGGGGAGCAAACAGGAUUAGAUACCCUGGUAGUCCGCACAGUCAACGAUGUACACUGGGCGUGUGCGCAAGAGCGUGCGUGCCGAAGCAAACGCGAUAAGUGUACCGCCUGGGGAGUAUGCCCGCAAGGGUGAAACUCAAAGGAAUUGACGGGGGCCCGCACAAG
This 512-nucleotide ribosomal RNA is filed under the name uncultured bacterium. RNAcentral describes it as "bacterial SSU rRNA". It matches the Rfam family "Bacterial small subunit ribosomal RNA", at positions 422 to 929 of the family's 1533-position model. The record is from RNAcentral.